Molecule: ribosomal RNA, 736 nt
Filed under: uncultured Pseudomonadota bacterium
Lineage: Bacteria; Pseudomonadati; Pseudomonadota
Description: bacterial SSU rRNA
Rfam family: Bacterial small subunit ribosomal RNA
Source: RNAcentral
AGUCGAGCGGUAACAGGUGUAGCAAUACAUGCUGACGAGCGGCGAACGGGUGAGUAAUGCUUCGGAAUCUACCUUAUGGUGGGGAAUAACUAGCCGAAAGGUUAGCUAAUACCGCAUACGUCCUACGGGAGAAAGCAGGGGAUCGCAAGACCUUGCGCCAAAAGAUGAGCCGAAGUCGGAUUAGCUAGUUGGUAGGGUAACGGCCUACCAAGGCGACGAUCCGUAGCUGGUCUGAGAGGACGACCAGCCACACUGGGACUGAGACACGGCCCAGACUCCUACGGGAGGCAGCAGUGGGGAAUAUUGGACAAUGGGGGAAACCCUGAUCCAGCGACGCCGCGUGUGUGAAGAAGGCCUGCGGGUUGUAAAGCACUUUUAGUGGGGAUGAAAUGUGCAGGGCUAACACCUCUGCAUUUUGACCUAACCCACAGAAAAAGCACCGGCUAACUCUGUGCCAGCAGCCGCGGUAAUACAGAGGGUGCAAGCGUUAAUCGGAAUUACUGGGCGUAAAGCGUGCGUAGACGGUUACAUAGGUCGGGUGUGAAAGCCCCGGGCUCAACCUGGGAAUUGCAUUCGAGACUGCGUAGCUAGGGUGCGGAAGAGGGAAGCGGAAUUUCCGGUGUAGCGGUGAAAUGCGUAGAUAUCGGAAGGAACACCAGUGGCGAAAGCGGCUUCCUGGUCCAGCACCGACGUUCAGGCACGAAAGCGUGGGGAGCAAACAGGAUUAGAUACCCUG